UGGUGGGCAUGAAAAGGAUCGGCUAACAAGGUUGGCCCUAAUUGGUUUGAUUUUUAUUUUUUUAUUUUUAUUUUUUUUGCUUCUAGCUAGUUGAUAGGGAGAUCCCUUUUUCCUUUUUCCUGAGACAUUACUUUUUCCUCUUCUUUUGUUUUUUUCUUUUUUUUGUUUUUUCUCUUUUCAACUUUUUUUACGACACAUUGAAAAGUCACUUCGCCUUAUCGCAAAAUUAAACUUUAUGAAAAUUUGAACAAUCAUUGUCCAAUCUGUGUGGGCUUUAUUAGGCUUGUA
This 288-nucleotide long non-coding RNA is filed under the name Vigna radiata. RNAcentral describes it as "long non-coding RNA (VRAD_LNC015752)". Lineage: Eukaryota; Viridiplantae; Streptophyta; Magnoliopsida; Fabales; Fabaceae. The record is from RNAcentral.